UACGUAGGGUGCAAGCGUUAAUCGGAAUUACUGGGCGUAAAGCGUGCGCAGGCGGUUAUAUAAGACAGAUGUGAAAUCCCCGGGCUCAACCUGGGAACUGCAUCCAAAACUGCUGAGCUAGAGUACGGCAGAGGGGGAUGGAAUUCCGCGUGUAGCAGUGAAAUGCGUAGAUAUGCGGAGGAACACCAAUGGCGAAGGCAAUCCCCUGGGCCUGUACUGACGCUCAUGCACGAAAGCGUGGGGAGCAAACAGG
Molecule: ribosomal RNA, 253 nt
Filed under: uncultured bacterium
Lineage: Bacteria
Description: partial 16S ribosomal RNA
Rfam family: Bacterial small subunit ribosomal RNA
Source: RNAcentral